This is a long non-coding RNA of Vigna angularis (adzuki bean), 358 nucleotides long. RefSeq lists it as uncharacterized. The record is from RefSeq and is a predicted model, not a curated record. The transcript has 4 exons. Lineage: Eukaryota; Viridiplantae; Streptophyta; Magnoliopsida; Fabales; Fabaceae.
CCCUUCCCCCUCUAAUUUUGGGAUGAUUAUUUGGAUUGCUUUGGGGAUCCUGAUACUAUUGGAAAGAUAGGUACAGAUAUUGAAGAUUUUAAAUGCUCUUGGUUAGUUGCGAAAGCUUUGAAGCUUAGCAAUUAGCAACAAAAGAAAGUUCCAUACGACAACUAUGGGAGUGCAGAUCCAGAAAAUGUUGCUAAAGUAAAGGCCCUGUAUAACGAGCUUAAUCUUAAGACUUGUUGUAAAAGCAUAUGUAUUUAUGACUUCCAAUUUUGGCCUUAAAUUAAGUGUAUGAUAAUGUUCCUGUUACUGAAAAUUUAUGGCUAUUUAACUUUGUUUCAAAUAUAUUUUUUAAUUUAUCCAG